This 78-nucleotide transfer RNA is filed under the name Omnitrophica bacterium RIFCSPLOWO2_01_FULL_45_24. RNAcentral describes it as "tRNA-Val". It matches the Rfam family "tRNA". From Rfam's summary of the family: Transfer RNA (tRNA) molecules are approximately 80 nucleotides in length. Their secondary structure includes four short double-helical elements and three loops (D, anti-codon, and T loops). Further hydrogen bonds mediate the characteristic L-shaped molecular structure. tRNAs have two regions of fundamental functional importance: the anti-codon, which is responsible for specific mRNA codon recognition, and the 3' end, to which the tRNAs corresponding amino acid is attached (by aminoacyl-tRNA synthetases). tRNAs cope with the degeneracy of the genetic code in two manners: having more than one tRNA (with a specific anti-codon) for a particular amino acid; and 'wobble' base-pairing, i.e. permitting non-standard base-pairing at the 3rd anti-codon position. Lineage: Bacteria; Pseudomonadati; Candidatus Omnitrophota. The record is from RNAcentral.
GGGCGCUUAGCUCAGUUGGUUAGAGCGUCUGGUCUACACCCAGAAGGUUCAGAGGUUCGACCCCUCUAGCGCCCACCA